UGACCUUAUGAGGGAUCAGUCUGAAUUGG
This 29-nucleotide non-coding RNA is filed under the name Mus musculus (house mouse). The record is from RNAcentral. Lineage: Eukaryota; Metazoa; Chordata; Mammalia; Rodentia; Muridae.